GACAGAGGGUGCAAACGUUGUUCGGAAUUACUGGGCGUAAAGCGUGUGUAGGCGGCCGCGCAAGUCGGAUGUGAAAUCCCCGGGCUCAACCCGGGAAGUGCACCCGAAACUGCGUGGCUUGAGUACCGGAGAGGUUGGUGGAAUUCUCGGUGUAGAGGUGAAAUUCGUAGAUAUCGAGAGGAACACCGGUGGCGAAGGCGGCCAACUGGACGAGUACUGACGCUGAGACACGAAAGCGUGGGGAGCAAAC
RNAcentral lists this ribosomal RNA (250 nucleotides) under uncultured bacterium. Its description in RNAcentral is "partial 16S ribosomal RNA". It matches the Rfam family "Bacterial small subunit ribosomal RNA", at positions 524 to 773 of the family's 1533-position model. The record is from RNAcentral.